GAUGAACGCUGGCGGCGUGCUUAACACAUGCAAGUCGAACGAGAAAUGGAGACGGACACCUUCGGGCGGAAGGCUUCAUUUCGAGUGGCGGACGGGUGAGUAACGCGUGGGUAACCUGCCUCAUACAGGGGGAUAACAGUUGGAAACGACUGUUAAUACCGCAUAAGACCACAGCACCGCAUGGUGCGGGGGUAAAAACUCCGGUGGUAUGAGAUGGACCCGCGUUCGAUUAGCCAGUUGGCGGGGUAACGGCCCACCAAAGCGACGAUCGAUAGCCGAUCUGAGAGGAUGACCGGCCACAGUGGGACUGAGACACGGCCCAAACUCCUACGGGAGGCAGCAGUGGGGAAUAUUGCACAAUGGGGGAAACCCUGAUGCAGCGACGCCGCGUGAGUGAAGAAGUACUUCGGUAUGUAAAGCUCUAUCAGCAGGGAAGAAAAUGACGGUACCUGAGUAAGAAGCCCCGGCUAACUACGUG
Molecule: ribosomal RNA, 478 nt
Filed under: uncultured bacterium
Lineage: Bacteria
Description: partial 16S ribosomal RNA
Rfam family: Bacterial small subunit ribosomal RNA
Source: RNAcentral